Molecule: non-coding RNA, 119 nt
Organism: Arabis alpina (gray rockcress)
Lineage: Eukaryota; Viridiplantae; Streptophyta; Magnoliopsida; Brassicales; Brassicaceae
Source: Rfam
AGCCAUGAGGUGAGCACAAAGCGAACUAUUCUUUCGCCUUUUACUAAAGAAUACCGUGUGCUCUCCUCGCUAAGUGGCAUACGCCUAUUUUUGGAGGGUUUCUUACUCUUGAGUGAGAC